This 253-nucleotide ribosomal RNA is filed under the name uncultured bacterium. Its description in RNAcentral is "partial 16S ribosomal RNA". It matches the Rfam family "Bacterial small subunit ribosomal RNA", at positions 524 to 776 of the family's 1533-position model. The record is from RNAcentral.
UACGUAGGUGGCGAGCGUUGUCUGGAAUUACUGGGUGUAAAGGGCGUGUAGGCGGGGGCUCAAGUCGGAUGUGAAAUACCGUGGCUCAACCACGGGGCUGCAUCCGAAACUGUGCCUCUUGAGUACCGGAGAGGAAAGUGGAAUUCCCAGUGUAGCGGUGAAAUGCGUAGAUAUUGGGAGGAACACCCGUGGCGAAGGCGACUCUCUGGACCAAUACUGACGCUGAGGCGCGAAAGCGUGGGGAGCAAACAGG